CCAUUCUCAGUUCGGAUUGUAGGCUGAAACUCGCCUACAUGAAGCUGGAGUUACUAGUAAUCGCAGAUCAGAAUGCUGCGGUGAAUGCGUUCCCGGGUCUUGUACACACCGCCCGUCACACCACGGAAGUUGGGGGCGCCCGAAGCCACUUAGCUAACCCUUUUGGGAAGCGAGUGUCGAAGGUGAAAUCAAUAACUGGGGUGAAGUCGUAACAAGGUAAC
RNAcentral lists this ribosomal RNA (221 nucleotides) under uncultured bacterium. RNAcentral's name for it is "partial 16S ribosomal RNA". It matches the Rfam family "Bacterial small subunit ribosomal RNA", at positions 1282 to 1500 of the family's 1533-position model. The record is from RNAcentral.